RNAcentral lists this long non-coding RNA (1265 nucleotides) under Homo sapiens (human). Its description in RNAcentral is "non-protein coding lnc-EFNA5-8:1". Lineage: Eukaryota; Metazoa; Chordata; Mammalia; Primates; Hominidae. The record is from RNAcentral.
GUGGGAGUGUUAACAUUCAGGGAUGUGGCCACAGAAUUCUCCCCGGAAGAGUGGGAAUGCCUGGACUCUGCUCAGCAACAUUUGUAUAGGGACGUGAUAUUAGAGAACUACAGAAACCUGGUCUCCUUGGGUCUUGCUAUCUUUAAGCCAGACUUGAUUACCUGUCUGGAGCAAAGAAAAGAGCCCUGAAAUUUGAAGAGACAGGAGACAGUAGUCAAACACCCAGCUGGCUCUUUUCAUUUUACUGCAGAGAUAAUGCUGGAGCACGACAUAAAAGAUUCAUUUAAAAAAGUGAUUCUGAGAAAAUAUAGAAGCUGUGACCUUAGUAAUUUACAUUUAAAGAAAGACUACCAAAGUGUGGGUAAUUGCAAGGGAGCAGAAAAGCAGUUAUAAUGGCCUUUAUCAAUGUUUGUCAACUACCCAUAGCAAAACCUGUCAAUGUAAUAGAUGCGGCAAAGCUUUUGAGUUGUGCUCAAUCUUCACUGAACAUAAAAUUUUUAGCGUAGAAAUGCUACAAAUGUGAAGAAUGUGGCAAAGACUGUAGGUUGUUCUCAGAUUUUACUAGACAUAAGAGAAUUCAUACUGCAGAGAGAUGCUACAAAUGUGAAGAAUGUGGCAAAGCCUUUAAAAAGUUCUCAAACCUUACUAAAUAUAGAGUUCAUAUGGGAGAGAAACCCUACAAAUGUGAAAAAUGUGACAAAACUGUUACCUGCUCCUCAACCCUUCUUAAACACUAGAGAAAUCAUACUGGAGAAAGAUGCUACCAAUGUGAAGAAUGUGGCAAAGCCUUUAAGUGCUUCUCAGACCUUACUAUUCGUAAGAGAAUUCAUGCUGGAGAGAAACCCUACAAAUGUGAAGAAUGUAACAAAGCCUGUAGGUAGUUCUCAGACCUUGCUAAACAUAAGAUAAUUCAUACUGGAGAUAAACCCUAUAAAUGUAAUGAACUUGGAAAAGGUUUUAAGUGGUUCUCAGCCAUUAGUAAACAUAAAAUUCAUACUGUAGAGAAACCCUACAUCAGUGAAGAUUGUGGCAAAGCCUUUACCUGCCCUUCAACCCUUAUUAACCACAAGAGAAUUCAUAUGGAAAAGAGACCUUACAAAUGUGAAGAAUGUUGCAAAACCUUUAAGUGCUUCUCAGACCUUACUAAUCAUGAGAGAAUUCACACUGGAGAGAAACUCUACAAAUGUGGAGAAUGUGGCAAAGCAUUGAGCUGGUUCUCACACCUCAUUAGACAUUAGCAAAUUCAUACUAGAGAGAAGCAACAU